AGAGCGCACGGAGGAUGCCUUGGCACUAGGAGCCGAAGAAGGACGUGACAAACGACGAAACGCUACGGGGAGCUGUAAGUAAGCAAAGAUCCGUAGAUAUCCGAAUGGGGGAACCCACCGCUUUUAAAAGGGCGGUACGCGAAAGCGAGGUAACGCAGGGAACUGAAACAUCUAAGUACCUGUAGGAAGAGAAAGAAAAAUCGAUUUCCUAAGUAGCGGCGAGCGAAAGGGAAAGAGCCCAAACCAAUGUGCUUGCAUAUUGGGGUUGUAGGACUCUCAGAAAAACGUAUGACAAAGUAUAGUAGAACGAGCUGGAAAGUUAGACCGUAGAAGGUAAAAGUCCUGUAUACGAAAUGCUAAGUUGGCGUGAGAGAGCACCUGAGUACGGCGGAACACGAGGAAUUCCGUCGGAAUCUACCAGGACCAUCUGGUAAGGCUAAAUACUACCUAGUGACCGAUAGUGAACCAGUACCGUGAGGGAAAGGUGAAAAGAACCCCGGGAGGGGAGUGAAAGAGAACCUGAAACCGUGUGCUUACAAGUAGUCAGAGCCCUUUAGGGGGUGAUGGCGUGCCUUUUGUAGAAUGAACCGGCGAGUUACUUUAUCAUGCGAGGUUAAGUGGAAGACAUGGAGCCGAAGCGAAAGCGAGUCUUAAUAGGGCGAAAUAGUAUGAUGGAGUAGACCCGAAACCAAGUGAUCUACCCAUGGCCAGGUUGAAGUUUAGGUAACACUGAAUGGAGGACCGAACCAGGACACGUUGAAAAGUGUUUGGAUGAGCUGUGGGUAGCGGAGAAAUUCCAAUCGAACUUGGAAAUAGCUGGUUCUCUCCGAAAUAGCUUUAGGGCUAGCCUCGUUGUGAGUUUACUGGAGGUAGAGCACUGUUUGGACUAGGGGCCCAUCCCGGGUUACCGAAUUCAGACAAACUCCGAAUGCCAGAUAAAUAUCAACGGGAGUCAGACUGCGGGUGAUAAGGUUCGUAGUCGAAAGGGAAACAGCCCAGACCGCCAGCUAAGGUCCCAAAUUGUAUGUUAAGUGGAAAAGGAUGUGAUGAUGCACAGACAACCAGGAUGUUGGCUUAGAAGCAGCCACCAUUUAAAGAGUGCGUAAUAGCUCACUGGUCGAGUGACAUCGCGCCGAAAAUGUACCGGGGCUAAACAUACAACCGAAGCUGCGGAUAUAACUAAUGUUAUAUGGUAGGAGAGCGUUCUAACAUCAUAGAAGCCGAACUGGAAGGUGAGGUGGAGAGGUUAGAAGUGAGAAUGCCGGUGUGAGUAGCGAAAGAUAGGUGAGAAUCCUAUCCACCGAAAGACUAAGGUUUCCAGAGGAAGGCUCGUCCGCUCUGGGUAAGUCGGGACCUAAGGUGAAGCCGAUAGGUGAAGCCGAUGGACAACAGGUAGAAAUUCCUGUACCACCGAAUAUCGAUUGAGAGAAGUGGGGACAGAGGAGGCUAAUUGAUCGCCCUGAUGGAAUAGGGCGUCUAAGCACAAAGACUGACAAGUAGGCAAAUCCGCUUGUUUAAAGGUUGAAGUGUGAUGGGGAGCGAAAUAUAGUAGCGAAGUCAAUGAAGCCAAACUCUCAAGAAAAGCCGCUAUCGAGAUAAGAGGUGCCCGUACCGCAAACCGACACAGGUAGUUGGGAAGAGAAUUCUAAGGUGAGCGAGAGAACCAUCGUUAAGGAACUCGGCAAAAUGACCCCGUAACUUCGGGAGAAGGGGUGCCUACGAGAGUAGGCCGCAGUGAAUAGGCCCAAGCGACUGUUUAUCAAAAACACAGGUCUCUGCAAAACCGAAAGGUGAAGUAUAGGGGCUGACGCCUGCCCGGUGCUGGAAGGUUAAGAGGAGUGCUUAGCGCAAGCGAAGGUAUGAAUUGAAGCCCCAGUAAACGGCGGCCGUAACUAUAACGGUCCUAAGGUAGCGAAAUUCCUUGUCGGGUAAGUUCCGACCCGCACGAAAGGCGUAACGAUUUGGGCACUGUCUCAACGAUGGACUCGGUGAAAUCAUAGUACCUGUGAAGAUGCAGGUUACCCGCGACAGGACGGAAAGACCCCAUGGAGCUUUACUGUAGCUUGAUAUUGAAUUUUGAUGCAGUAUGUACAGGAUAGGUAGGAGCCUAAGAAUCAUGCACGCCAGUGUAUGAGGAGGCGUUGUUGGGAUACUACCCUUGCUGUAUUGAAAUUCUAACCCUCGGCAUAGAAAACCGGGAGACAGUGUCAGGUGGGCAGUUUGACUGGGGCGGUCGCCUCCUAAAGAGUAACGGAGGCGUUCA
Molecule: ribosomal RNA, 2263 nt
Filed under: human metagenome
Description: bacterial LSU rRNA
Rfam family: Bacterial large subunit ribosomal RNA
Source: RNAcentral